RNAcentral lists this transfer-messenger RNA (403 nucleotides) under Rikenellaceae. Its description in RNAcentral is "Alistipes sp017938765 Standard tmRNA". It matches the Rfam family "transfer-messenger RNA". Rfam says of the family: Bacterial tmRNA, also known as 10Sa RNA or SsrA, is named for its dual tRNA and mRNA-like properties. Its role is to liberate the mRNA from a stalled ribosome. To accomplish this part of the tmRNA is used as a reading frame that ends in a translation stop signal. The record is from RNAcentral. Lineage: Bacteria; Pseudomonadati; Bacteroidota; Bacteroidia; Bacteroidales. RNAcentral also lists the same sequence under 1 other name.
GGGGGUGACCGGUUUUGACAGCAGGUAGAGUUUGAUUGUAAGCACGCCGAGCAUUGUGUGGGGUCUCGUAAAUCGCAACACUCAAACUACAAAUGGCAAUAAUAGCUAUGCACUCGCUGCUUAAUUUUCAAGGAAAAUUAGCUUAAUUGAUGCACACAAGGUUUGCGUCAACGAGUAUCCUGAACACUUGUCCUGCUCUCUGAUAAGUAGUUCAUAUGGGGUAUCAUCAAUGGAGGGAUAGUGCGAUAUGUGUCUCGGUUAUCGUGCGAAAUUUAGAGGCUGGGGUUAGGGUCUUGGCUGUUGUCUGCCGAACUCUAACAGAAGGAUUAAACGACAACUAAGCGUGUAGAAAGCUUUUGGGUUCCUUGUUUGGACGCGAGUUCGACUCUCGCCACCUCCACAG